This 76-nucleotide transfer RNA is filed under the name Aeromonas enteropelogenes. RNAcentral's name for it is "tRNA-Thr". It matches the Rfam family "tRNA". Rfam says of the family: Transfer RNA (tRNA) molecules are approximately 80 nucleotides in length. Their secondary structure includes four short double-helical elements and three loops (D, anti-codon, and T loops). Lineage: Bacteria; Pseudomonadati; Pseudomonadota; Gammaproteobacteria; Aeromonadales; Aeromonadaceae. The record is from RNAcentral.
GCUGGUUUAGCUCAUCAGGUAGAGCGGCCGCCUUGUAAGCAGCGGGCGGCGGGUUCGAGUCCUGCAACCAGCACCA